UUGUUCUGCCCAGCAGACGCGUCUGCCGAUCGUGCGAGCGCUCCGCUUCCGCCGAUCCCCGCGGGCCAGCGGUAACUCCUUGAUUUUCGGGUUUUUUGAGGAAUCCCUGAUUUUCGGUUUGGUCCACGCGAAAGUGCCUCCCGAUUGAGUCCCGGCCCUGGCUUUAGGCCCCAAGAAGAACGGCGAGAGAACAGAUCCGCAGAAACAACGUUGCGCUGCCGCUCCUGCCGUGCGCUCCCCACCCCCGAUCCGCCCCGAGCCGACCCUGCCUCCGAUCGCCGCCGCCGAGCUCCUCUGCCGGACACCAUGGCUCCGUCGGACCUUCCCUCGCGAGUGACGGCCCUCUUCCCGACCAGAUCGGCGACGGCGACGACCGGUGAUGAACACAUGCCUGCCCCAUUCUUAAUUCUCCCGGGCAGUCUGGGAUGCAGAUGCCGCCGCCAUUCUUCCGCACAGCUGAGUACGCGGAAGUCGUUGUUGCCUGCAACUCAGCCCUGCGAAGUUGAGGAGGGUUCGUUGUCCGGGCAUCGCAUCCUCCUGCUUGUCCUCUACCACAGGGUCGUCGCCAUCUUCCGUCACCACGACCACCUCUGCCAUGUCCUCUACGGCUCUACCACGGGUCAGCAAGAGCAUACCACCGCAUGUCCUCUUCACAUGAUAAGUACAGACUUGGCUAAGCGAUUUUAUGUCAAACUGACAUAAAUAUGAUUAAGUCCUUGUUGUGUUUUUACUGGUAGGGAGAGCAUGAGAAAGGUGUUGUGGAUACAUAUAUGAAUGCCCGCCAGAAGAAGAGAAAGGUGUUUGGCUGCAAAUCAGUUUUAUGUCAAACUGCACAUAAAUAUGAUCAAGUACUUGUUGUCUUUUUGCUGGUAGGAAGAGCAGGAGAAAGGUGUUGUGGAUACAUAUAUGAAUGCCUGCCAGAAGAAGAGAAAGGUGUUUGGCUGCAAGUUAUUGUGUUCGUAGGCUGUCCAUAUCACCGGGACUAAGGGAAAAUGUUCAACUGCCGCGUUCCUGUCUAAUAUCAUGAGGGAGCAAGCAUAAACUGUCGGCUGCUAUUCCAGUCCACACCUUUUAACAAUCCGAGAGCGCAUCACCGGUUUCAGCUGCAUCUUUGAGGGAUCUUUUUGAUCUGGCCAAGGAAGAUAUUGAUGAAUCAAUCGAAUCAGAAAAUAGAUCCCUGUCACACUUUGAGGUAUAUUUUUCAAAGUUAUUUUUAAGUUGCAGGGUUGGUUUUUGCUUUAAUAAAAUGAUGAUGAUGUGUACUCAGAUAUUUUUUUGUAUGUCCCCGAAUGGGAUCCUAUACAAUACAAAUAAACGAAAAGCAUAACAAGAGAAAUAGCAAAGGUACUAUCGAUUUUCCUUCAAUAGUUUGCAUCUCACAGCAUUGAACAUUACAGAAGCAGCGGAAACUGGGAAGAAAAUUGUAUGACACAAGAAGAGAUACUUUUAGAAGCAGCAGAAACAGGUUCCCCUUGUAUAUCUCUUUCUACCUUUACCCAAACAUAUAUUAAAAAAACAAGUUUUGAACGAAUAUUUAUUAAUUAUCUUUGUAUAUUUAUAUUUCUAGAGAUUAUGAGCACAACAAAUCUUUUCUUUCGAGAGCACUCAAAGCACGUGCCUUACUUUUAUAGAAGAGAGCAAAACAAUUUACAAGAGGUCUAGCGAGUGCGGAACACUCCAAGACUAACACCCACCACCACUCCUACAAGGAACCCAAAACUAAUCUCUCACAAAGCGUUAGACAUCAUGCCGUGCAAAUGACCAGGGUGUCGAACCCACGUUUGUCUUCCUUCGCAAAGCACAACAAAUCUUGAAGCAUGUGCUGUCAAGAGAGGAGGAAGUGAAGAAAAAGAUUAUUGUUUAGAAAACCAUUUAUGACGAUCCUACGGUUUGGUUUUACUCGAGAGAUGGUAACUGCUCUAUACCUAAUUUGUGGAGUAAUCAACUACAUUUUUUUGUACUCCCCAUUUCAUUAUAUGAAUCUGUGUCCUACAUAUGCAUAUUAUGAAUUAUCGGACUUCUAAAUUAACAGAAUUUCAUCUUGAAUUCAUCAAUGGGGCAUCAUUUUGGACUACACUUAACUAAGACCAAAUAUAAAUGCCCUAGAGGCCUUAACACUAGGGUGACAUAAUCUUUUCAGCAUCUAACAGUUAUUACAAAAAAAAACUGAGAAAACUCCAGUUAUGGUGAAGAAUGGAUGAGUCUCUCAUGGAGAUAUUUGUAUUUUGAGUUCUAUCACCACUCGAUAUUUUUCUUGUUUCAGUAUUGUCUGCAGCUUUGUUUCAUGAAGAUUGAAUUCUGUAAUUUUUUUAUGUCACAUUUGAAUGUGUUGGCAAGUAAGCGGCUCUACAUCGAUCUUGCCAAUUCCAUUUCUAAUAGGCAUGAGCCCCUUGUGUUCUGGACAACUAAGGUUACAUGCAUAAUUACCUAAUCAUGUACCAAUUCUGAGUCAGACGCGUGCAUUUGGAUUGGAUAUUGAACCAAGCCCGCCAUUUUAUUACUCUGAAAGAACUAUACAAUGAUAUUUGGCUAUUGCUUUCAGUAUUAGAGAAGCAUGGAAACUGAACUGCGGGGCUUUCUAUAUUUUUAUGUGACAUUCCUCUAUGCCAUCGUGCCAUACUAUUUAUUUUGAGCAACCUCUCUAUGCUAUUUUCUUGGACAAUUUUCACUGUAAUCUCUAGCACCUCAAUAUACGGUAAACAACUGCAAGCUUGGGUAUUUUUUUUCUCAUCUUGUAUUCAUAUUAUUUGCUAUGUUACUUUAGCAAUCAAAUAGAAUCAGACACAAGCUCCAGUUAGUCCUGUGUAAAAACUAAUGUGCUGGUGUGGACCAUGAAUUCCUUAUUUUGUCUGUUUCAGACUUGGGAUCGUAGGGAAAAGUGUGGACUAUGGAGUCAUACCAGAACUGGAUUGACCAUGGCACAUCUUCUCAAACGAGUCAUGGCGUCGUCAACAAUAUUCAAGAUUUCAUGUUCCCUUCAUUUCCAAGCAUCGCUCUUAAAGCAAUAUAUGCAGGUUCAUCAUUCAUGCGAGGGAUAUGAAUGAUGAAACAAAAGUAAAAGGUGUUUAUGCUAACAGAUCAUCAUAAUUGGGGAUGAGUGUCAUGUUAGUUUUAUAAAUCC
Triticum aestivum (bread wheat) is the source of this 3121-nucleotide long non-coding RNA. RefSeq lists it as uncharacterized. The transcript is spliced from 5 exons. Lineage: Eukaryota; Viridiplantae; Streptophyta; Magnoliopsida; Poales; Poaceae. The record is from RefSeq and is a predicted model, not a curated record.